GUGUACAGAGCUCUAGGCAAAGCAAUGACAUCAAUGACGCAAAUGACCAAGUUGAUGCCGAUUCAGAGGGUCAUACAAUUGAAGGAGAACCAGUUGGUGACUUUGUUCCUGCGCCCCGAAAGGAAGUCCGCAAGAAAACCAUAGGGCUUGGCUUAGAGAAGAUGAUAAAGAGAGGAAACAAGCUGCCUAUCAAAGUGGCUGAAGGGAAGAAAAGACCUGAUGUCCCACUUCAAGCAGCGAAGCUGGCAUCAGAAACUGGUGUAGCUCUUAGAGACAAGCUGCCUAUCUACACAUCUUGGAAGCUUUAUGAAAAAGAUGGGGGGCCAGUAGAAGUACAAAAAGUGCUUGAUAAAGUGGCAAAUAGGUUGGAUGUGGAUGUUAAGAAUGAUGGACCAAGCAAAUCUGCAUGCACUGAUAUCAUUAGAAGGGAGUAAAGCAGCAG
Panicum hallii is the source of this 442-nucleotide long non-coding RNA. RefSeq lists it as uncharacterized. Lineage: Eukaryota; Viridiplantae; Streptophyta; Magnoliopsida; Poales; Poaceae. The record is from RefSeq and is a predicted model, not a curated record. The transcript has 3 exons.